RNAcentral lists this small RNA (79 nucleotides) under Salmonella enterica. RNAcentral's name for it is "partial RtT sRNA". It matches the Rfam family "RtT RNA", at positions 54 to 130 of the family's 130-position model. From Rfam's summary of the family: This family represents a bacterial cis-regulatory element known as RtT RNA. The exact function of RtT is unknown although it is thought that it may be involved in changing the cellular response in relation to amino acid starvation. Lineage: Bacteria; Pseudomonadati; Pseudomonadota; Gammaproteobacteria; Enterobacterales; Enterobacteriaceae. The record is from RNAcentral. RNAcentral also lists the same sequence under 2 other names.
GAAAGCGAGAAAGCGUUGCCAACGGCAACGACCCGAAGGGCGAAGCGCGCAGCGCUGAGUAAUCCUUCCCCCGUCAUCC